Molecule: ribosomal RNA, 1121 nt
Filed under: Lumbricus rubellus (humus earthworm)
Lineage: Eukaryota; Metazoa; Annelida; Clitellata; Crassiclitellata; Lumbricidae
Description: partial large subunit ribosomal RNA
Rfam family: Bacterial large subunit ribosomal RNA
Source: RNAcentral
GUACCUUGUGCAUCAUGGUUUUACAAGUAUCAAAUUAAUAAUAAUUCCCGAAUUCUAAGCGAGCUGCCCUAUCAUAGCUAAGAGCCCACUACUAGUUGUAGCAACAACUUUGGAAAAUGGUAGGGCAGGGGCUACAUACCAAACGCGCUAGAAAAUCUCUGGUUCUCAGUAAAAUUUAUAAAUAAAACAUGUAGUCAUUCUACACUGUAAAAUUAUAGAGGAUAAGCCCUAUAAUUAAAACUAGACGUUUCAAUUUACCCCAAUAGGCCUAAAAACAGCCAUUAAUAAUACCUUACCGUAAUAUCUUCUUAAUUAUUUACUAAGUCUGUUAAGAAAAACUGAAAUUUUCUGAUAAACUUUAAAUCUAAAAAUAUUCUGUAAAAAUAAGUAUUAAUCUAAUAACCUAAAUUAAAACUACCUAUCAAUCCAUAAUACCUAAUAUCUUAUAAAGGAACUCGGCAAACCCUCAUUUCGACUGUUUAACAAAAACAUUGCCCAAGUAAGAAAUUUGGGGUAACUCCUGCCCAGUGAUAGUUUCAACGGCCGCGGUAUCCUAACCGUGCAAAGGUAGCAUAAUCACUUGCCCAUUAAUUGUGGGCUAGAAUGAAAGGAUUAACGAAAUAAAAGCUGUCUCUAUAAGACCCCUAAAAAUUACCCUUUAACCGAAGAGUGUUAAAUAGCGUCGAAGGACAAGAAGACCCUAUAGAGCUUAAUUAAAAUAAAUACAUAAAAUUUACUAAAAUUCGGUUGGGGCGACCAGGGAAAUUACUAAUCAUCCCUAAGUAAAAGAUAAAUUAAUCUAACCAUUGACCCUUAAUCAAGAUCACUAAAACAAGCUACCUUAGGGAUAACAGGCUAAUCUUACUAGAGAGUUCUUAUCAAUAGUAGGGUUUGGCACCUCGAUGUUGGCUUAGGGAAUCUAUGUGGCGCAAAAGUCACAUAAAGAUGGUUUGUUCAACCAAUAACACCCUACAUGAGCUGAGUUCAGACCGGCGUAAGCCAGGUUAGUUUCUAUCCUCGAUCAUAUAUCUAUUUAUAGUACGAAAGGACCUAAUCAGAGUAAUAUUUACAUGGCUGGAAUAAAUAUAAAACAUUAUAAACAACAUAAAUCACACACUAUG